Molecule: RNA transcript, 2129 nt
Organism: Lagenorhynchus albirostris (white-beaked dolphin)
Lineage: Eukaryota; Metazoa; Chordata; Mammalia; Artiodactyla; Delphinidae
Gene name: membrane cofactor protein-like
Exons: 13
Source: RefSeq, a predicted model, not a curated record
CACACCCAGCUGCGAGACCGCGUUUGACGGUUUGUGACUGUGCGGAUUCUUGUCUCUGGUAACUGGACUCAGAAAGAUCUCUGCUGAGCUGUUUCAGGUUUCUCGCUGAUCUCCCGAAAAUGACGGCGCCUUGCUCCUUUCGGAAGGCAUCCCCCUACCGCUCCGAGAGUCCCUUUUCUUCUAGGUGCUUCGUUGGGAUUCUUUUGGUGGCGCUACUGCUCCUGCUUCCCAUAUCCUCCGAUGCCUGUGGUGAGCCACCAAGGUAUGAAUCUAUGCGGCUCCCGGGUGUCCCUAAACCCAGUUAUAGCCCUGGGGAGAGUGUACAGUAUGAAUGUCGCCCAGGUUACCAGCCCAAGCGUCCUCCUGUUCCUACCUCUGCUGUUUGUCAGAAUGAUGGUAUGUGGUCACUUCUCCAGGAGGCCUGUACAAGAAAACAGUGUCCUAACCUAGGGGAUCCCACAAAUGGCCAAGUAGACUACCCAAAUGGAAGUAUUCUGUUUGGCUCAGAGGCUCAUUAUGUUUGUAAUGUUGGUUAUUUCUUAAUUGGACCAAGUAUUCUAUACUGUGACAUUUCUGGAAGUACUGUGGACUGGAGUGAUACUCCUCCAAUGUGUGAAAAGAUUUUGUGUAAACCACCUGAAAAAAUUCUAAAUGGAAAAUACACAAAUAGCCACAAGGAUAUAUUUGAAUACAAUGAAGUAGUAACUUAUAGUUGUGAUGCUUCAAAUGGAACAGAUCAAUAUUCACUUGUUGGAGAGAGCAAGCUUGUUUGUAUUGGAAAUGACAAAUGGAGUAGUGACCCUCCUCAGUGUAAAGUGGUCAAAUGUGCCUAUCCAUACGUUGAAAAUGGAAUGAUAGUCUCAGGACAUGGAACAAAAUUUUACUACAAAGCAACGAUUGUAUAUAGAUGCAUUGAGGGUUUUAAGCUUAAUGGCAGCAACACAAUUGUCUGUGGUGCGAACAGUACUUGGGAGCCUGAGAUACCAACAUGUAUUAAAGAGUCAACUACUCCUAGUACCCAGCCUCCAAUUUCCAGUGCCUCAGUGUCAACUCCUCCCAGUUCCCAACCUCCAAUUUCCAGUGACUCAGGAUAUCCCAGUCCCAGUGAUGAACCACCACCUAAAGAUGCUGAGAGUUUAGGUGCAGGAAUCAUUGUUGCAAUUGUCACUGGUGCACUUUUUGGCAUUGUAGUAGUUGUCGGCAGCAUCUACUUCUGUUUUCACAAAGAGAAGAAAAGGUAAAUUGAAGUUGCAGUAAAACUGAUGGGGUUAAACUAAAAGUUGCUGAGAGGGAAAGAAGGUAUUGCUACAUACAGCGCUUACCAGAAUAAGGCAACCACUCCAGCAGAAAAGAUGGACGAAAGGGUUUCCACAAACCCAUGUAUCAUUCAGCCAUGAAAAUGAAGGAAAUCCUACCAUUUGAGACAAUACAGAUGGACCUUGAGGGCAUUAUGCUGGGUGAAUAAGUCAUAUAAAGAAAGACAAGUACUGUAUGAUCUCACUUAUAUGUGGAAUCCAAUAAAACAAGCUUAUAGAAAAAGAAAUCAGAUUUACCUUCAUCAGAGGUGGUGGGCUGGGGGUGGCAGUUGAGUAAAGGCAGUCAGAAAAUAUAAACUUCCAAUUAUAAGAUAAAAACGUACUGGGAUGUAAUGUACAGCGUAGUGACUACAGUUAGUAACACUGUAUUGUAUUUUGGCAAGUUGCUAAUAAGAAAGUGGAUCUUAAAACUUCUAAUCACAUGGAAGAAAAAAAUUUUUUUGUAGGUACAUGAAGUGAUGGAUGUUAACUAAAUUUAUCGUGUAAUCAUUUUGCAAUAUAUACAUGAUCAAAUCAUGCUGUACACCUUAAACUUAUGCAGCAUUAUAUGUUAGUUAUAUUUCAAUACUGAAAAAAAAUCUAUAAAAAUUAUUUGCUAGUUUCUUACACUGUCAGGAAUGGAACUGUUAAGCUAUAGGGCUAACAUUUUAAUGUGGCUGAAGUACAGUCACCAUCAUUUAAUGCUUCUUUGAAAUGUGUAUGAAUUUGUGUUUAAAUAUCUUGCUUGUUUUUCCUUAAAUAACGCUUGUAUUUAUAAGGGCAACUUAUAUCGCGACUAGUGUUAAGGUGGGGAAAUAUUUUUUCUAUAAAAUC